RNAcentral lists this ribosomal RNA (119 nucleotides) under Arabis alpina (gray rockcress). Its description in RNAcentral is "rRNA ENSRNAG00050207987". The record is from RNAcentral. Lineage: Eukaryota; Viridiplantae; Streptophyta; Magnoliopsida; Brassicales; Brassicaceae.
GGGGUGCAACACGAGGACUUCCCAGGAGGUCACCCAUCCUAGUACUACUCUCGCCCAAGCACGCUUCACUGCGGAGUUCUGAUGGGAUCUGGUGCAUUAGUGCUGGUAUGAUCACACCC